GCCGCCGCCGCCGGCGGCGGGCAAGCCUGAGGCGCCGCGCGACCCGAAAGAAGGCGGCGGCGGCAAUGGCGGCGUCGUCAACUGAUGCUUCUCCUCUCCUUGCUCAUGCAUCUUGCUCGUCAUCUUCUUCAUCAUCAUCAUCUUGAGAAGAAGAUCAGAAGACAUGCAUGCAAAUUGCAAGUUGGAAAUAUGGAUCGAAACAGCUACCAGUGUACUGCAAGAGAUCGACCUCUCGAUCGAUAGAUUGGAAGGCUAGCUUUGCAUUCCUAUUUAAGUUUUUAUCUUUGACACUGGAAUGGAUAAUUUAGCAGAUUAGCUGCAUCUAUCAGCAUGACUAGGUUCAGGUUCGGAGUGAUUAAAAAUUCAAAAAAAAAGUUCAGAAUGAUUUAUAUUGCACAUUGUAAAUUUGUAAUAUGAUAUUUGUGAGGUACGUACUAAGGUAUACAUAUAUACCCGAUUUCCAAUGCUUCUUUUUUUUUUUGAUUGUUGUUGUACAAUCAGAAGAAG
RNAcentral lists this long non-coding RNA (507 nucleotides) under Oryza brachyantha (malo sina). RNAcentral's name for it is "long non-coding RNA (OBRA_LNC002187)". The record is from RNAcentral. Lineage: Eukaryota; Viridiplantae; Streptophyta; Magnoliopsida; Poales; Poaceae.